GACGAACGCUGGCGGCGCGCUUAACACAUGCAAGUCGAGCGAGAUCCGGCCCUUCGGGGCCGGGGAAAGCGGCGAACGGGUGAGUAACACGUGGGUAAUCUGCCCUCGGCACCGGGAUAGCCCGGGGAAACCCGGAUUAAUACCGGAUGGCCCGCCGAUCCUUCGGGAUCGCCGGAAAAGGUAGCUUCGGCCUCCGGCCGAGGAGGAGCCCGCGGCGGAUUAGCUUGUUGGCGGGGUAACGGCCCACCAAGGCGACGAUCCGUAGCUGGUCUGAGAG
RNAcentral lists this ribosomal RNA (277 nucleotides) under uncultured bacterium. RNAcentral's name for it is "partial 16S ribosomal RNA". It matches the Rfam family "Bacterial small subunit ribosomal RNA", at positions 28 to 298 of the family's 1533-position model. The record is from RNAcentral.